Molecule: ribosomal RNA, 517 nt
Filed under: uncultured bacterium
Lineage: Bacteria
Description: bacterial SSU rRNA
Rfam family: Bacterial small subunit ribosomal RNA
Source: RNAcentral
GAGUUUGAUCAUGGCUCAGGAUGAACGCUAGCGGCAGGCCUAAUACAUGCAAGCCAAGGGCUGUUAGAGUAGCAAUACUCUAACAACCGGCGGACGGGUGCGUAAUGCAUACGCAACCUACCCUAUACAGGAGGAUAGCUUCCGGAAACGGAAAUUAAUACUCCAUAAGAUUCUGAUAAGGCCUCUUAUCAAAAUUAAAGCCUUAGGGCGGUAUAGGAUGGGCGUAUGUCCGAUUAGCUAGUUGGCGAGGUAAAAGCUCACCAAGGCCAUGAUCGGUAGGGGUUCUGAGAGGAAGAUCCCCCACACGGGCACUGAGACACGGGCCCGACUCCUACGGGAGGCAGCAGUAAGGAAUAUUGGACAAUGGGUGAAAGCCUGAUCCAGCCAUGCCGCGUGGAAGAAGAAGGCCCUAUGGGUUGUAAACUCCUUUUGCAGGGGAGAAAUAAUUCUGACGUGUCAGGAGAUGCUAGUACCCUGCGAAUAAGCAUCGGCUAACUUCGUGCCAGCAGCCGCGGUA